RNAcentral lists this non-coding RNA (27 nucleotides) under Macaca fascicularis (crab-eating macaque). Lineage: Eukaryota; Metazoa; Chordata; Mammalia; Primates; Cercopithecidae. RNAcentral also lists the same sequence under 1 other name. The record is from RNAcentral.
UAACCAAUGGAAUCCUCUAGGGGGUAA